CCUACGGGGGGCAGCAGUGAGGAAUAUUGGUCAAUGGACGAGAGUCUGAACCAGCCAAGUAGCGUGAAGGAUGACUGCCCUAUGGGUUGUAAACUUCUUUUAUCUGGGAAUAAACUGUUCCACGUGUGGGAUUUUGUAUGUACCAUAUGAAUAAGGCUCGGCUAAAUCCGUGCCAGCAGCCGCGGUAAUACGGAGGAUCCGAGCGUUAUCCGGAUUUAUUGGGUUUAAAGGGAGUGUAGGGUGUUAUAUAAGUCAGUUGUGAAAGUUUGCGGCUUAACCGUAGAAUUGCAGUUGAAACUGGCAGUCUUGAGUACAGUAGAGGUGGGCGGAAGUCGUGGUGGAGCGGUGAAAUGCUUAGAUAUCACGAAGAACUCCGAUUGCGAAGGCAGCUCACUGGACUGCAACUGACACUGAGGCUCGAAAGUGUGGGUAUCAAACAGGAUUAGAUACCCUUGUAGUC
RNAcentral lists this ribosomal RNA (460 nucleotides) under uncultured bacterium. RNAcentral's name for it is "partial 16S ribosomal RNA". It matches the Rfam family "Bacterial small subunit ribosomal RNA", at positions 338 to 795 of the family's 1533-position model. The record is from RNAcentral.